CGUCAAAUCAUCAUGCCCCUUAUGACCUGGGCUACACACGUACUACAAUGGCCGGUACAGAGGGAAGCGAAGCUGCGAGGUGGAGCGAAUCCCAAAAAAGCGGUCUCAGUUCGGAUUGCAGGCUGCAACUCGCCUGCAUGAAGUCGGAAUUGCUAGUAAUCGCGGAUCAGCAUGCCGCGGUGAAUACGUUCCCGGGUCUU
This 200-nucleotide ribosomal RNA is filed under the name uncultured organism. RNAcentral describes it as "partial small subunit ribosomal RNA". It matches the Rfam family "Bacterial small subunit ribosomal RNA", at positions 1183 to 1382 of the family's 1533-position model. The record is from RNAcentral.